GUGUUGUAGACCCGAAACCGGGUGAUCUAUCCAUGGGCAGAGUGAAGGUAAAGUAAAAUUUACUGGAGGCUCGAACCGGGUAGCGUUUAAAAGCUAUCGGAUGACCUGUGGAUAGGGGUGAAAAGCCAAUCGAACUCGGAUAUAGCUGGUUCUCCUCGAAAUAGCUUUAGGGCUAGCCUUGUUUUAGAUUACAGGAGGUAGAGCACUGAAUAGUCUAGGGGAAGUAAUUCUACCGAAACUUAUCAAACUCCGAAUGCCUGAAAAUCGAUGAACAGGAGUCAGACCAUGAGGGAUAAGCUUCAUAGUCAAAAGGGAAACAGCCCAGACCACCAGUUAAGGUCCCAAAAUACAGAUUAAGUGGGAAAGGAUGUAAUACUACUCAGACAACCAGGAUGUUGGCUCAGAAGCAGCCAUACAUUUAAAGAGUGCGUAAUAGCUCACUGGUCAAGUGGUAAUGCGCCGAAGAUGAACGGGGCUAAAUCUGAUACCGAAACUGUGGGAUAGAAAAGCAAUUAUGCGAGAAGUAUGGUUAAGAUUAGGAAAUAUAUCAACUAGUAAAGUAAGAGAGAAAGACAUUAAAUAAAACUAUUAAACGAUACAAUUUCUAAAACACUUAACAACAUACAACUGGCAUAAUAGCUUUUCUAUCGGUAGAGGAGCGUUGUAUAUGAAUUGAAGCAAAAAGCGCAAGCAAUUGUGGAUUAUAUACAAGUGAGAAUGCUGGCAUGAGUAGCGAAAAGGGAUGUGAGAAUCAUCCCCGUCGAAAGCCCAAGGAUUCCUGAGCAAGGCUCGUCCUCUCAGGGUAAGUCGGGACCUAAGGCGAGGCCGAAAGGCGUAGUCGAUGGACAACAGGUAGAAAUUCCUGUACUACAAGAUUGUGAUUGAGAGAAGUACUGACGCAGAAGGAAAAGUCGAGCGUGUGAAUGGUAGAACACGUCCAAGUAACAAGCCAGAAUAUACAGGCAAAUCCGUAUAUUCGUUAACGUAAGUUAUCAUGGGGAGCAGAAAGAUGCGAAGCGACAGAUUCAAACUGCCAAGAAAAGGUGCUAUCGAAUAAUCUUGUACCCGUACCGCAAACCGACACAGGUAGGCAAGAAGAGAAUUCUAAGACGCGCGGAAGAACCUUUGUUAAGGAACUCGGCAAAAUAAUCCCGUAAGUUAGCGAGAAGGGAUGCCUAAGAAAUUAGGUCGCAGAGAAUAGGCCCAAGCGACUGUUUACCAAAAACACAAGUAUCUGCUAAAUCGAAAGAUGAAGUAUAGGUGCUGACACCUGCCCGGUGCUGGAAGGUCAAGGGGACUUGUUAGAGCAAUCGAAGCAACGAACUUAAGCCCCAGUAAACGGCGGCCGUAACUAUAACGGUCCUAAGGUAGCGAAAUUCCUUGUCGGGUAAGUUCCGACCCGCACGAAAGGUGUAAC
RNAcentral lists this ribosomal RNA (1417 nucleotides) under human gut metagenome. RNAcentral describes it as "bacterial LSU rRNA". It matches the Rfam family "Bacterial large subunit ribosomal RNA", at positions 704 to 2005 of the family's 2925-position model. The record is from RNAcentral.